This 253-nucleotide ribosomal RNA is filed under the name uncultured bacterium. RNAcentral's name for it is "partial 16S ribosomal RNA". It matches the Rfam family "Bacterial small subunit ribosomal RNA", at positions 524 to 776 of the family's 1533-position model. The record is from RNAcentral.
GACGUAGGGCGCGAGCGUUGUCCGGAUUUAUUGGGCGUAAAGAGCUCGUAGGCGGCUUGUCGCGUCGACUGUGAAAUCCCCCGGCUUAACCUGGGAACUGCGUCUGAUACUGGGAGGCUUGAGUAUGGGAGAGGGAUGUAGAAUUCCAGGUGUAGCGGUGAAAUGCGUAGAGAUGCGGAGGAACACCGAUGGCGAAGGCAGCCCCCUGGGCUAGCACUGACGCUCAGGCACGAAAGCGUGGGGAGCAAACAGG